GACGAACGCUGGCGGCGUGCCUAAUACAUGCAAGUUGAGCGCUGAAGGUUGGUACUUGUACCAACUGGAUGAGCAGCGAACGGGUGAGUAACGCGUGGGGAAUCUGCCUUUGAGCGGGGGACAACAUUUGGAAACGAAUGCUAAUACCGCAUAAAAACUUUAAACACAAGUUUUAAGUUUGAAAGAUGCAAUUGCAUCACUCAAAGAUGAUCCCGCGUUGUAUUAGCUAGUUGGUGAGGUAAAGGCUCACCAAGGCGAUGAUACAUAGCCGACCUGAGAGGGUGAUCGGCCACAUUGGGACUGAGACACGGCCCAAACGCCUACGGGAGGCAGCAGUAGGGAAUCUUCGGCAAUGGACGAAAGUCUGACCGAGCAACGCCGCGUGAGUGAAGAAGGGUUUCGGAUCGUAAAACUCUGUUGGUAGAGAAGAACGUUGGUGAGAGUGGAAAGCUCAUCAAGUGACGGUAACUACACAGAAAGGGACGGCUAACUACGUG
This 497-nucleotide ribosomal RNA is filed under the name uncultured bacterium. Its description in RNAcentral is "partial 16S ribosomal RNA". It matches the Rfam family "Bacterial small subunit ribosomal RNA", at positions 28 to 507 of the family's 1533-position model. The record is from RNAcentral.